UUUACAUAUCAGUCCAGUUUCAUGUAUAGAUGCCUCUAACCAUUCAGUGACCUUGGUAUCUGGUGAGAUAAGUCAGUAUUGCAGCAACACUCCCAGAAAAUAGUCUGACUCAUCUUUGGAGAUUUUUCUGGGAAAAAAAUUGGUUUAACUUUGCAUAGACUCAGGCAGAGCAUGUGGCAUUAUGGUCUACCUGUAGAGGGAGAUUUUGGCCUGUGUGUCUGGAAAGCAGGCUCAUCUGCUCACCAGGCUUCAUCUAGGGCACCCUGGAAUAGUCCUGUCAGAAUUUGUAUUCUUGCCCUGAGAACAUUUCUGUGCUUAUGCUAUGACUAAACACUGGUUUGGUCAUACGUGAAGUGCGAUUUGCUUAAUGUGACCUGCGUCUCUGAAUUUAUUUACAGAAAGUCAAAGUGAUGAUGAGGAAGAGGAAGAAAAAGGGCCAGUGUCCACCAGGAAUCUGCAGGAGUCUGUGGAGGAGGAAGCCCCCCAGGAGUCCUGGGAUGAAGAUUAUUCGACUCUCUCAAUUCCUCCUGGCACAUUUGCCUUCAAUGAGCCUUACAGGACCAACCUGCACUCAUUAGAGGAACAGCAGGUCAACUUGGCUCAUGACAUAGACAGUGAGUACUCUGUUGUGAAAGUGGUAAAGCUCCACUUUGUGUCCCAGAUAGACCCCAUAGUCUUUGUGCAUUGCUCCCCAGGCUGGGCUGAGAGUUGUCAUCACUGUGGGCUGAACCUAUCCAUCAGUGCAGAUUUCAAUCACUCCGGAUUCCAGUCUGAAGCAUGGGCAUGGGGUGGGUCAGUGAGCUUUGCUCUCUCUCUAGUCUCAGUCCAUGCCUGUGGCACCCUGGACCAACUGUCAGGACAUUGGAACCCAAGGCAGGUGUUGCAAACUCACACCAAGCUAUGCAGCACAUGCCCACGAGUUGUCUGUGAAUCUGAAUUAAACGUCUCUUGCCAGCUAACAAGUUCCUCAUGAGUUUUGUUCCCCAGGCAUGUCUGUGAGGUUCUUUCCUGUUUGUACAAACUUGGUAUAACUGUUUGUACAAACUUGGGAUAAAGGGAUAAUGGUCUACCAGAAUAGGGACGUUUCACCAUUGGUUCUGAGACACAAACCAAGGAAUCUCUAUCAUGAUUGGCCUUGAGACCUCCUGAAGUCUCUCUCUCAUGUUAUCCUGUUCUCAAGCUGAGGAGUCUGAGGUCCCCGUGCAGGGAUUAGACAGUGGACUGUUACGGGUGUAGGGCGAUGGCUAACUUUUAUCUGUCCCUAUUCGAAUUUAUUGCAGAGAUUGAAAAGGACCAAGAAGAGGAAGAAGACCAAGGCCCACUGUGCCCCAGGUAACUUUGAGCAACUGUGAACAGCUAAUUUUGUGUUGACACCUGGAGACGCCAGGUCCAGGGAAAACAGAGUGGGCUGACAAUAUCGAUACCAUCUUUUCAACAAAUCCUGAAGUAUUUCUACAAACAUCGCUGUUGGUUUUCAUUGCAAUAGAUAUUUAGGUUUCCGUUUCUUCCUCCCCUUACCAUUUACUAACUGCUGUAGGUUGACCAUACUUGUUUUUAUGAUCAGUGUACGCUGUGUGUCCUGAGGGUACUAACUCAGAGUGUCCUUUUACUCCCUCAUCAGUGUGUCACCUGGACGGUUUACUGAGCUUACUCUCUCUUUCUCCCUCCCCUUCCUUUCAUUCUUUUCUACCCUACUCUUGUCCAUCCCAGCAUAAGGCAAUAGUUUGUUACGUCAUUAGUGGAUCUAUGUGUUUUCUUUAUCAUUUACUUGUGCUACCCAUGAAAUCUAGUUGGGGCUCUGCGGUGUCUUAUUUUCCUUGACUUAUUCUUUGGUUUUUCCUCCUUUGUUAGGCUCAGCAUGGAGCUGGUGGAAGCAGAAGAGCCUGAAGUCUUCUGGUACUCACUGGAUAUAUUGUAUUCAACAUAUACAGCUUAUCUUGAGUUUUAUUACACAUGCCAGGCUUACACAUAUGCCGUUUUUUUAUAUGCAGAAGAGCAUGUUCGCUUGACUUUGGACAUGGACAGCAGGUUUUUUACUCUGACGGUGGUAGGACUCCACCUGGUCUCCCGGAUAGGGGUCAUAUUCCCACACUAAGACAACGUGUCACACGGGACUCUGCCAGUGCAGAGUAUGAACCACGCCAUGUUCUUGCUGAAAACGCUUAGCCCGAGUUUCAUAGCCUGAGGUAAUCUCCAGACGACUUCAGAAUGUAGAACAGUGAGCGGCACAACUGACCUGUCUCCUUCAGACAGCCCAUGUCACCACAAAUCACACAACUGAAAGGAGAAGAGAUGUUUUGGUUUGAAAAAGAGUAAAAAGAUAAUGUAGCUACAUUUCUUUAGUUCUUUUGAACCCAAAGUGCCUCCUCACCUUUUUGUUGUUGUCGUUGAUGGUGGGGACAUGGGCUUGUUUGUAGAGGA
RNAcentral lists this long non-coding RNA (2421 nucleotides) under Callithrix jacchus (white-tufted-ear marmoset). RNAcentral's name for it is "lncRNA (ENSCJAG00000074630.1)". The record is from RNAcentral. Lineage: Eukaryota; Metazoa; Chordata; Mammalia; Primates; Cebidae.